Manis javanica (Malayan pangolin) is the source of this 1443-nucleotide non-coding RNA. NCBI's taxonomy places the organism in Eukaryota, Metazoa, Chordata, Mammalia, Pholidota, Manidae. The record is from RefSeq and is a predicted model, not a curated record.
CACUCUCCUUCCCCAGCCUGGUAUUUGCCACCCCCCUGUGCUGUGCCCUGUUUCCCCAGAGAAGCUCCAUACAUGUGAGCAGGCUGGAGCCAGAGCUGCGAGCUCAGAUCCAUGAGCAAAGCCCCAGCACUGAAGUGGUCUACUACAACAAGGGCCUCUGAGAGUGGGUCAGUUCCUGGCCCCUUCCUUCGCCUCCUCAGGCUGCUGCUUUAAUAGAUCCUUGCCAUCCCUGCCACUUGCCCGGCCUGGUAUUGGGGAGAGGGCUUGGUGAGGGUGCAACCAUUGAGACCAGCAAUCCACUAGGUUGGGAGAGGUGCCCCCAUAAGCCUUUUUCUCUCCUCCCUGGUUUCAGAGAGCAGGAUCACAUAUCCAUUCUCCCGUGUGUGUCCAUGUAUAUACACACCUGAUGUGAAUGUGUAUGUAUGUGCUGUCCUGAAAGCUCAGAGCAGACAUGCUGUCGUGGUGUGUCCUAAUAUCUGGCUUCCCCUCUUGGCCUUCUACCACCUGUCAGCUGGCCAGGCUACAGGACUUCUUUGCCUAAACAGUUCCUCUGGCCAAGUCGUUUCUGACAGUACCUUGCCCCAUAUGGACUCAGAAGGAGCCCCAGGAUCUCAGGACAGAGACUGAGGACACUAACAGGCCAAACUGGGCUGCAUCCUUCAGAUUUAUGCUUCCUGACUCCCAAAGCUGGCAGAGGAAGACAUAUCAGGAUAAGGGAGGCAGGGAAGUUGUGCAUCCCCUGGAACAGACCACUUCCUCUCCUCCUUUCUAUCAGAACAAAGGAGUGUCAGUAUCCUGUACCAUUCUUGCCAUCUUUCCAUCUCCCCGACAAUGCAAUGUGAGCAUCUUUAGGCACAAUCCUAGGAGUUCUUGGUCUGCUGUGACAUCACAGCAAUCCCAACCCCCUCCCCCAACCAAAAAGCCAUGAAGGCAGAACAAGUAUUCCCCUUUAAGAGCUCCCACCACACCCUCCUUCCCACCCACAGCUAUGAGAAGGUGCUUAAACUCCACAGGUAUGUGAGUGGGUGCAACUAGGAUACCCUCAAGGACAACUAGGCCCGGAGUGUACAAUCAUAAGAUGGAAUUUUGUGUUCCAUUGACCUUUGGUAGACAUUCAGCAAAACCUUGACCUUAGUUAGCUCCUCUUUCUUGAGGUUUAGACCUGCUUUUACCCUGACUCCACCCUCAAGAGGAAGAAGGGCCCAGGCAACAACAGCUGGUCCAAUGGGGAGGACCAAUGGAAUGUAUAGUGGUGAACUCACAGAAUGCAGAGUUGGACCUUGGUUCCAAUUCCAAGGACAGCUGGCUGAAGCAGUGGGUGUGGUGGGUGAAGGCCUCAAUGGAAUCAUCUAAGAGCACUUAACUGUUCCCCCCAACCAUCCCCCACCAGUGAUGAAAGUUAUGAUGCCAGUGCUACUCAAUAAACUGAAAACCUGUCUCCUU